AGUGAACGCUGGCGGUAGGCCUAACACAUGCAAGUCGAACGGCAGCACAGUAAGAGCUUGCUCUUACGGGUGGCGAGUGGCGGACGGGUGAGGAAUACAUCGGAAUCUACUUUUUCGUGGGGGAUAACGUAGGGAAACUUACGCUAAUACCGCAUACGACCUACGGGUGAAAGUAGGGGAUCUUCGGACCUUGCGCGAUUGAAUGAGCCGAUGUCGGAUUAGCUAGUUGGCGGGGUAAAGGCCCACCAAGGCGACGAUCCGUAGCUGGUCUGAGAGGAUGAUCAGCCACACUGGAACUGAGACACGGUCCAGACUCCUACGGGAGGCAGCAGUGGGGAAUAUUGGACAAUGGGCGCAAGCCUGAUCCAGCCAUACCGCGUGGGUGAAGAAGGCCUUCGGGUUGUAAAGCCCUUUUGUUGGGAAAGAAAAGCAGCAGGUUAAUACCCCGCUGUUCUGACGGUACCCAAAGAAUAAGCACCGGCUAACUUCGU
This 491-nucleotide ribosomal RNA is filed under the name uncultured bacterium. RNAcentral's name for it is "partial 16S ribosomal RNA". It matches the Rfam family "Bacterial small subunit ribosomal RNA", at positions 29 to 506 of the family's 1533-position model. The record is from RNAcentral.